GGUGACAUAGCCAAGCGGUAAGGCACAGGUCUGCAACACCUCGAGCGGCGGUUCAAAUCCGCCUGUCACCU
Molecule: transfer RNA, 71 nt
Filed under: Butyrivibrio sp.
Lineage: Bacteria; Bacillati; Bacillota; Clostridia; Lachnospirales; Lachnospiraceae
Also listed under: 1 other name
Description: tRNA-Cys
Rfam family: tRNA
About the family: Transfer RNA (tRNA) molecules are approximately 80 nucleotides in length. Their secondary structure includes four short double-helical elements and three loops (D, anti-codon, and T loops).
Source: RNAcentral